GGCACUUUAACAUAUCUUUGAUCUUUUUAAGGUCAGGUUCCCCAAGUUUUUUUUCCUAUUAACUUCACAAGAAAAUGUAGAACCAUCACGGGGUUGGGGGAGGAUAAGAAAUACAAGCACAGCCAUAAAAGUGAUCAUCUUGACCACCACAAACAUCACAUACAUUCCAUAUAUAAGAUUCAGUUGGUGCAAAUAACUCGCUCUCGAAAAUAUUUUGACAAUUUUGCCACAAGUGAUUUCCUCCAUAAUAAGUACAAGGAAGAUUAACACUAGAAUUACCAACAUCGAAACUCCCAUUAUUCCAAGAUGCCAUGUUUCUCAAUUCAACAAUUAAAACUAAAAUAAAAAAAAUCAAAUAUCUAAAAAAAGAACAAAAUAAAAGUUCAAACUUGAAACCUAGCAAUAUGUACAACUACAACCACAUCAUUAGUUCCUCGGCAACGACAUAAAAUUUGAUCACGCCCAACUCUAGUCCCAAAAAGGAUAAGCGAUCGCUGCAAAAAUAAUUCAGUCUAAAAGUUCGGAGUCAAAUCCCACAGAUAACUAAGGCUUAGCUACAACUAUUCAGUAUUGCUAUGAAAUACAAGUUCAAAUAAUUUCCUAAUUAUAAAGAUUGUAUUUUUUUAACCUAAUUAAUUAACAAAUACUAAAAGCAGUAAAAUUAUCAACUAACAAGACUAAGGGCUGGAGACAAGAUUAAGGAGGCCAAAAGUUAUGAUUUUUCCGAUUGUCAGAAUCCUUCACGCUAGGUGUCACACCUCCUUUUUGCGCGCCCCGCCCCGAAGGGUAGAAAUGCGCGAGGGAGUUUUUCCAAUUUAAGUGACAAGAUUCGAAAUGGGAUUAUUUAUUUAAUUCAGAGUCGCCACUUGGGAAAUGUUUGGCUUUUGGUGUCCCAAGUCACCGGUUUAUCUUGAAUCCCAAAUCGAGGAAAUUUUCGACUUUUCCAAAUGAAGUCUGCGAACCAGAAAUUCUAAGUAAGGAAUUCUGUUGACCCGAGGGAAGGUGUUAGGCACCCUCGAAUCCCGUGGUUCUAGCACGGUCGCUUAAAUUGUUAUAAUGGCUAAAUAUCUGAUUUAAAUACAUGUUAUGACUUACGUGCUUUUAUUAAGUUUAAACCGCUUUUAUUAUUAUCAUUAAUUUUUAUAGAAUUGCAACGUCGUGGAAAUGCAUCUCGAACCACGUCACAAUCAAUGCACCCGUGGUCGUCGACACAUUUUGACUCCGUUGAGAUUUGGAUUUGGGUCACAUCAAUGUGCACCCGUGUUUAAGAAGGUUAAAUUAUUAAAGGUACGCCUAAAGCAACUAGCGUAUUGUUAUUUUAGGAAGAGGCCGUGAAGGUUCAUUAAACGGCCAAAUCCAAAGUCUAGUCAAUGGUUAUGCAUUUUAUUGAGGGCCCCGGCGGUUUGUGAUUUAUUUGGCGAGGCUCGUCUCAUUUUUAUUUUAAAGGAUAAACCUAUAGUGACUAUAUUUUCUAUUAAGUUCGUCUCUAAAAUAAAAGAAAAUCUCUUAAUUAUUUACAUGCUGAAAACGUAACUUAUUAGUUAUUAGUUUACGGCUAAUGCGAUUGGAAAAUUGCAAUCGAGUUUUUACAAAGAAAAACUGCUUUCAUUUUUAUAUUCCAUUAUUUACUAAUGCUGGAACAUGAGAGGGAUACACAAUAAUAUCAAAGCCGAUUAACUAUUCUUCAAGUAAUUUAAACUAGCAUUAUUAGAUGAAGCAAUCAUACAUAUGCAGCCUCAUUACUCAUUAAUUAAUCGACUACAUUUUUAUACAAAGAGAGGAAAAUUAAUAUUCAAACACAGAUCCAAACAAAAGAAUUCAACAGGAACAGGAGCCUGAUUAAUAUUUCAUUUUUUCGCUUCAAGCCAAGAGUGUACAAAUGUGUACCUGGAAACAGCAGUACAAGAACAAAAGAAGUAGGAGUCAGCAACAGUAAUAACGCGGCAACAGCAGGUUCAGCAACACCGCAAAACCAGCAACAACCAGUAGAAUAACCCAGUAGCAGAUUGAAAACUCAGCAAUGCAAAAGUACAAUCGCAGUCAAAGCAGAAAGAGAAAAGAUAUGAGAUGCAGUAGUUUCUAACUUUUGAAUAACACUCGA
Molecule: long non-coding RNA, 2101 nt
Filed under: Nicotiana tabacum (common tobacco)
Lineage: Eukaryota; Viridiplantae; Streptophyta; Magnoliopsida; Solanales; Solanaceae
Description: long non-coding RNA (NTAB_LNC010960)
Source: RNAcentral